GUCUUGUGAGAAGAGUUUCUCCAGCACCCUCUGAAUUUGCACUUUUUGACCAUGCCUUGCUGCGCCUACCUAAUCUGCAUCUUCUUUUCACCUUGCCAGGGCUAAAGGCUUUCAAAGACGAUCUGGGACAUUAUCAUUGCUUGUAAUCAAAAAGAAAAUAUUGCCCGUGAUAUUCUAUUUCUAAGAUUUAAUGGACCAUUCGAAUUGUCUACCUGUACAUUAGUAAAGCGUGAACUUUCAAGCAUGGAACUUUCAGGGCUGCUGCGAACUGUCUGGAACUCUCGAGUCCCCUUUUCUAAAAGUUAUUUUUGUAAAUUGCUGUAACAGUGGCUCAUCAGUCACUUUGAAAGGAAGUGAUCCUUGAUUAACAGUUGGCUGAUACCUUGCUCCACAGAUGUGUAGCAACAGUACAGGUGCGACUUAUAAAACAAGACAGAGCUUUACUCCUCCUUGGUACAAGGAAGGCUGGCAUGACCAUCCACUUCACAUCAGAGGGUGUCUUAUCCACCAGUGUGCUGACACCAAGCAGGAAUUUCCAAGUAGAGAGCAGACUCCCUGUAGUCACAUGUCCCUGGUGAAAUUGCUUCAUCAUUCUUCAGAAGGAAAAAAAAAAAAAAAAAAAGAAGAAGCAGAUUCUCUUCCGAAUCCUCUAUUCUCAGAAUGACUAGACAGAACUUUAUGCCAAAAUUCUUGCUCAUCUUCCUAUCUUCUAGUUCCAUAAAUAAAAAUAAAAUGUUAAUAAAUGGAUAAAAUUG
Rattus rattus (black rat) is the source of this 755-nucleotide long non-coding RNA. RefSeq lists it as uncharacterized. The transcript is spliced from 2 exons. NCBI's taxonomy places the organism in Eukaryota, Metazoa, Chordata, Mammalia, Rodentia, Muridae. The record is from RefSeq and is a predicted model, not a curated record.